RNAcentral lists this ribosomal RNA (1306 nucleotides) under Carabus granulatus. Its description in RNAcentral is "16S ribosomal RNA". The stretch from base 1052 to 1211 matches the Rfam family "Archaeal large subunit ribosomal RNA", at positions 2542 to 2701 of the family's 2987-position model. The record is from RNAcentral. Lineage: Eukaryota; Metazoa; Arthropoda; Insecta; Coleoptera; Carabidae.
UUUUUAUUUAAUAAAAAUAAUUUUAAUAAUUAAUAUUUUUAGUAAAGUUUAUUGAAAAAAUUAAGUUAGUUAUAGUUAAAUUGUAUUGUAAAAGAUUAUUGAAAUAAGAUUUUAUUUUUAAAAAGUAUAAUUUAAUUUUAGUACCUUGUGUAUCAGGGUUUAUUAAAUAAAAAUUAAAAAUUUUAAUUUUCUCGAAUUUAAGAGAGCUAAUAAAUUAUUUUUUUUAUUGUAAAAAAAAUAUUUAUCAUAAUUUAUUGGCAAUGAAAUGUUAUUCGUUCUUAAAUAUAUCUAGUUUAUUUAGAAAUGAAUUUAAUUCAGAUAUUAUUAUUUUAAUAAUUUAAUUUUUUAAAUUAUUAUAUUUAUUAAUAUUAAUAAUUAAAGGGAUUAGCUUUUAAUUAAAAAUUUAAAAAUUAAUAGAAUAUUUUUAAAAAAUGUAGAUUUAGAAAUAGUCAUCAAUAAUAAUUUGUUAUAAUUAAUUUAUUUAAAAAUAUUAUUUUAUAUAGUUUUAAAUUUUUUAUAAAUAAUUAAUUUUUAAUUUGAAAAAUUUAGUUAUAAUGAUAGAAUUAGUAUAUAUUUAAUUUAUUUUAAUAAUAAUUUUUUAAAGAUUAUUUAAAGGAAUUCGGCAAAAAUUUUACUCGCCUGUUUAACAAAAACAUGUCCUUUUGAAUUUUUAUUUAAGGUCUAGUCUGCCCACUGAAUUUAUAUUUUAAAUGGCCGCAGUAUUUUGACUGUGCAAAGGUAGCAUAAUCAUUAGUUUUUUAAUUAAAAGCUUGUAUGAAAGGCUGGACGAGGUAAAAUCUGUCUCUAUUUAAAUUAUAAUAGAAUUUAACUUUUAAGUUAAAAGGCUUAAAUAAUAUUAAAAGACGAGAAGACCCUAUAGAUCUUUAUAAUUUAUUUAAUAAAAUUAAUUUAGAAUUAUUUAUAUUUUAUUAAAUUAAAUUAUUUUAUUGGGGUAAUAGAAAGAUUGAAUUAAUUCUUUUUUAUAAUAAACAUUUAUUUAUGAAUAUUAAAUGAUCCAGUUUUAUUGAUUAUAAGAUUAAGUUACCUUAGGGAUAACAGCGUAAUUUUUUUGGAGAGUUCAUAUCGAUAAAAAAGUUUGCGACCUCGAUGUUGGAUUAAAGAUUAUUUUAGGUGCAGAAGCUUAAUAAUUUUGGUCUGUUCGACCAUUGAAUCUUUACAUGAUCUGAGUUCAGACCGGCGUAAGCCAGGUCGGUUUCUAUCUUUAAUAAUAUAAAAUAUUUUAGUACGAAAGGACCAAAUAUUUGAUAUAUUUAUAUUUAAUUUAUUGAAUUUUAUUAAAAUUAUU